RNAcentral lists this ribosomal RNA (497 nucleotides) under uncultured bacterium. RNAcentral describes it as "partial 16S ribosomal RNA". It matches the Rfam family "Bacterial small subunit ribosomal RNA", at positions 28 to 507 of the family's 1533-position model. The record is from RNAcentral.
GAUGAACGCUGGCGGCGUGCCUAAUACAUGCAAGUCGAGCGAACGGACGAGAAGCUUGCUUUUCUGAUGUUAGCGGCGGACGGGUGAGUAACACGUGGAUAACCUACCUAUAAGACUGGGAUAACUUCGGGAAACCGGAGCUAAUACCGGAUAAUAUUUUGAACCGCAUGGUUCAAAAGUGAAAGACGGUCUUGCUGUCACUUAUAGAUGGAUCCGCGCUGCAUUAGCUAGUUGGUAAGGUAACGGCUUACCAAGGCACCGAUGCAUAGCCGACCUGAGAGGGUGAUCGGCCACACUGGAACUGAGACAAGGUCCAGACUCCUAAGGGAGGCAGCAGUAGGGAAUCUUCAGCAAUGGGCGAAAGCCUGACGGAGCAACGCCGCGUGAGUGAUGAAGGUCUUCGGAUCGUAAAACUCUGUUAUUAGGGAAGAACAUAUGUGUAAGUAACUGUGCACAUCUUGACGGUACCUAAUCAGAAAGCCACGGCUAACUACGUG